CAGUCGCCGCGGUAAUACAGAGGGUGCGAGCGUUAAUCGGAUUUACUGGGCGUAAAGCGUGCGUAGGCGGCUAAUUGAGUCGGAUGUGAAAUCCCCGAGCUUAACUUGGGAAUUGCAUUCGAUACUGGUUAGCUAGAGUGUGGGAGAGGAUGGUAGAAUUCCAGGUGUAGCGGUGAAAUGCGUAGAGAUCUGGAGGAAUACCGAUGGCGAAGGCAGCCAUCUGGCCUAACACUGACGCUGUGGUACGAAAGCAUGGGGAGCAAACAGGAUUAGAUACCCCUGUAGUCCCUGUCUCUUAUAC
Molecule: ribosomal RNA, 301 nt
Filed under: uncultured bacterium
Lineage: Bacteria
Description: partial 16S ribosomal RNA
Rfam family: Bacterial small subunit ribosomal RNA
Source: RNAcentral